UAGCCGUAAACGAUACUCGCUAGGUGUCGGCCACGGUGCGACCGUUGUCGGUGCCGUAGGGAAGCCGUGAAGCGAGCCACCUGGGAAGUACGGCCGCAAGGCUGAAACUUAAAGGAAUUGGCGGGGGAGCACCACAACGGGUGGAGCUUGCGGUUUAAUUGGAUUCAACGCCGGAAAUCUUACCGGGACCGACAGCAACAUGAAGGCCAGGCUGAAGACUUUGCCGGAUUAGCUGAGAGGAGGUGCAUGGCGUAGACGUGU
RNAcentral lists this ribosomal RNA (261 nucleotides) under uncultured archaeon. Its description in RNAcentral is "partial 16S ribosomal RNA". It matches the Rfam family "Archaeal small subunit ribosomal RNA", at positions 748 to 1009 of the family's 1478-position model. The record is from RNAcentral.